RNAcentral lists this non-coding RNA (28 nucleotides) under Mus musculus (house mouse). The record is from RNAcentral. Lineage: Eukaryota; Metazoa; Chordata; Mammalia; Rodentia; Muridae.
UUCUACGGAGGGGUUGAAGUUGCUCUGC